UGGGGAAUAUUGGACAAUGGGCGCAAGCCUGAUCCAGCCAUGCCGCGUGAGUGACGAAGGUCUUCGGAUUGUAAAGCUCUUUUUGGCGGGGACGAUAAUGACGGUACCCGCAGAAUAAGCCCCGGCUAACUUCGUGCCAGCAGCCGCGGUAAUACGAAGGGGGCUAGCGUUGUUCGGAAUCACUGGGCGUAAAGCGCACGUAGGCGGAUUUGUUAGUCAGGGGUGAAAUCCCGGGGCUCAACCCAGGAAGUGCGCAAGAUACUGGAUAGCUGGAGUGUCGGAGAGGAGGGCGGAAUACCCGGUGUAGAGGUGAAAUUCGUAGAUAUCGGGUGGAACACCUGUGGCGAAGGCGGCCCUCUGGACGAUAACUGACGCUGAGACGCGAAAGCAUGGGGAGCAAACGGGAUUAGAUACCCCCGUAGUCCCUGAGCGGGCUGGCAAGGCGCAU
This 448-nucleotide ribosomal RNA is filed under the name uncultured bacterium. RNAcentral describes it as "bacterial SSU rRNA". It matches the Rfam family "Bacterial small subunit ribosomal RNA", at positions 355 to 825 of the family's 1533-position model. The record is from RNAcentral.